UACGUAGGGUGCAAGCGUUGUCCGGAAUUAUUGGGCGUAAAGAGCUCGUAGGCGGUUUGUCGCGUCUGCUGUGAAAACUCGGGGCUUAACUCCGGGCCUGCAGUGGGUACGGGCAGACUAGAGUGCGGUAGGGGAGACUGGAAUUCCUGGUGGAGCGGUGAAAUGCGCAGAGAUCAGGAGGAACACCCGUAGCGAAGGCGGCACUCUGGGCCGAUACUGACACUGAGGAGCGAAAGCAUGGGGAGCGAACAGG
This 253-nucleotide ribosomal RNA is filed under the name uncultured bacterium. RNAcentral describes it as "partial 16S ribosomal RNA". It matches the Rfam family "Bacterial small subunit ribosomal RNA", at positions 524 to 776 of the family's 1533-position model. The record is from RNAcentral.